This is a long non-coding RNA of Coregonus clupeaformis (lake whitefish), 375 nucleotides long. RefSeq lists it as uncharacterized. NCBI's taxonomy places the organism in Eukaryota, Metazoa, Chordata, Actinopteri, Salmoniformes, Salmonidae. The transcript has 3 exons. The record is from RefSeq and is a predicted model, not a curated record.
CUUGGAUGGAAGAAUGGAGGAAGAAACAAAGGGAAUGAGUAUAGAUGUAAUCCAGUCUGCUGAGUAAGAAAUCUUCUGAAACAUGUCAAAGACCUGAUGCAUGGCCUCUACAGUAGUGCUUGGCCACACCCAGUUACCAGUGACCUAUUCUUCCACAUCCCAGGGAAAGGAGAGAGCAGAACCACUCCUCCUUAAAUCCAUAGUCAUUGACAUUAGUGUCAUGAAAAGCCAGAAAACUCAGGAGGUUGAUGUGUUGAGGGCCGUCUGGAAAGUCCUAAAAUAUGCCCCUGACCACUGUGGUGGAGGAUGCAAAGUAUGUACAGUGAGGGGAAAAAAGUAUUUGAUCCCCUGCUGAUUUUGUACGUUUGCCCACUA